This 506-nucleotide ribosomal RNA is filed under the name uncultured bacterium. RNAcentral's name for it is "partial 16S ribosomal RNA". It matches the Rfam family "Bacterial small subunit ribosomal RNA", at positions 29 to 523 of the family's 1533-position model. The record is from RNAcentral.
AGUGAACGCUGGCGGUAGGCCUAACACAUGCAAGUCGAACGGCAGCACAGGAGAGCUUGCUCUCUGGGUGGCGAGUGGCGGACGGGUGAGGAAUACAUCGGAAUCUACUCUGUCGUGGGGGAUAACGUAGGGAAACUUACGCUAAUACCGCAUACGACCUACGGGUGAAAGCAGGGGACCUUCGGGCCUUGCGCGAUUGAAUGAGCCGAUGUCGGAUUAGCUAGUUGGCGGGGUAAAGGCCCACCAAGGCGACGAUCCGUAGCUGGUCUGAGAGGAUGAUCAGCCACGCUGGCACUGAGACACGGUCCAGACUCCUACGGGAUGCAGCAAUGGGGAAUAUUGGACAAUGGGCGCAAGCCUGAUCCAGCCAUACCGCGUGGGUGAAGAAGGCCUUCGGGUUGUAAAGCCCUUUUGUUGGGAAAGAAAUCCAGCUGGCUAAUACCCGGUUGGGAUGACGGUACCCAAAGAAUAAGCACCGGCUAACUUCGUGCCAGCCGCCGCCGUAA